AAAUUGAAGAGUUUGAUCAUGGCUCAGAUUGAACGCUGGCGGCAGGCCUAACACAUGCAAGUCGAACGGUAACAGGAAGCAGCUUGCUGCUUUGCUGACGAGUGGCGGACGGGUGAGUAAUGUCUGGGAAACUGCCUGAUGGAGGGGGAUAACUACUGGAAACGGUGGCUAAUACCGCAUAACGUCGCAAGACCAAAGAGGGGGACCUUCGGGCCUCUUGCCAUCAGAUGUGCCCAGAUGGGAUUAGCUUGUUGGUGAGGUAACGGCUCACCAAGGCGACGAUCCCUAGCUGGUCUGAGAGGAUGACCAGCCACACUGGAACUGAGACACGGUCCAGACUCCUACGGGAGGCAGCAGUGGGGAAUAUUGCACAAUGGGCGCAAGCCUGAUGCAGCCAUGCCGCGUGUAUGAAGAAGGCCUUCGGGUUGUAAAGUACUUUCAGCGGGGAGGAAGGUGUUGUGGUUAAUAACCGCAGCAAUUGACGUUACCCGCAGAAGAAGCACCGGCUAACUCCGUGCCAGCAGCCGCGGUAAUACGGAGGGUGCAAGCGUUAAUCGGAAUUACUGGGCGUAAAGCGCACGCAGGCGGUCUGUCAAGUCGGAUGUGAAAUCCCCGGGCUCAACCUGGGAACUGCAUUCGAAACUGGCAGGCUUGAGUCUUGUAGAGGGGGGUAGAAUUCCAGGUGUAGCGGUGAAAUGCGUAGAGAUCUGGAGGAAUACCGGUGGCGAAGGCGGCCCCCUGGACAAAGACUGACGCUCAGGUGCGAAAGCGUGGGGAGCAAACAGGAUUAGAUACCCUGGUAGUCCAUGCCGUAAACGAUGUCUACUUGGAGGUUGUGCCCUUGAGGCGUGGCUUCCGGAGCUAACGCGUUAAGUAGACCGCCUGGGGAGUACGGCCGCAAGGUUAAAACUCAAAUGAAUUGACGGGGGCCCGCACAAGCGGUGGAGCAUGUGGUUUAAUUCGAUGCAACGCGAAGAACCUUACCUGGUCUUGACAUCCACAGAACUUUCCAGAGAUGGAUUGGUGCCUUCGGGAACUGUGAGACAGGUGCUGCAUGGCUGUCGUCAGCUCGUGUUGUGAAAUGUUGGGUUAAGUCCCGCAACGAGCGCAACCCUUAUCCUUUGUUGCCAGCGGUCCGGCCGGGAACUCAAAGGAGACUGCCAGUGAUAAACUGGAGGAAGGUGGGGAUGACGUCAAGUCAUCAUGGCCCUUACGACCAGGGCUACACACGUGCUACAAUGGCGCAUACAAAGAGAAGCGACCUCGCGAGAGCAAGCGGACCUCAUAAAGUGCGUCGUAGUCCGGAUUGGAGUCUGCAACUCGACUCCAUGAAGUCGGAAUCGCUAGUAAUCGUGGAUCAGAAUGCCACGGUGAAUACGUUCCCGGGCCUUGUACACACCGCCCGUCACACCAUGGGAGUGGGUUGCAAAAGAAGUAGGUAGCUUAACCUUCGGGAGGGCGCUUACCACUUUGUGAUUCAUGACUGGGGUGAAGUCGUAACAAGGUAACCGUAGGGGAACCUGCGGUUGGAUCACCUCCUUA
This 1542-nucleotide ribosomal RNA is filed under the name Salmonella enterica. RNAcentral describes it as "bacterial SSU rRNA". It matches the Rfam family "Bacterial small subunit ribosomal RNA". Lineage: Bacteria; Pseudomonadati; Pseudomonadota; Gammaproteobacteria; Enterobacterales; Enterobacteriaceae. RNAcentral also lists the same sequence under 1 other name. The record is from RNAcentral.